AGAGUUUGAUCCUGGCUCAGAUUGAACGCUGGCGGCAUGCCUUACACAUGCAAGUCGAACGGCAGCACGGGAGCAAUCCUGGUGGCGAGUGGCGAACGGGUGAGUAAUGUAUCGGAACGUACCUUUCAGUGGGGGAUAACGUAGCGAAAGUUACGCUAAUACCGCAUAUUCUGUGAGCAGGAAAGCAGGGGAUCGCAAGACCUUGCGCUGAUUGAGCGGCCGAUAUCAGAUUAGCUAGUUGGUGAGGUAAAGGCUCACCAAGGCGACGAUCUGUAGCGGGUCUGAGAGGAUGAUCCGCCACACUGGAACUGAGACACGGUCCAGACUCCUACGGGAGGCAGCAGUGGGGAAUUUUGGACAAUGGGCGCAAGCCUGAUCCAGCCAUGCCGCGUGAGUGAAGAAGGCCUUCGGGUUGUAAAGCUCUUUCAGCCGGGAAGAAAACGCAUGGGUUAAUACCCUGUGUGGAUGACGGUACCGGAAUAAGAAGCACCGGCUAACUACGUGCCAGCAGCCGCGGUAAUACGUAGGGUGCGAGCGUUAAUCGGAAUUACUGGGCGUAAAGCGUGCGCAGGCGGUUUGUUAAGAUAGGCGUGAAAUCCCCGGGCUCAACCUGGGAACUGCGUUUAUAACUGGCAGGCUAGAGUAUGGCAGAGGGGGGUGGAAUUCCACGUGUAGCAGUGAAAUGCGUAGAGAUGUGGAGGAACACCGAUGGCGAAGGCAGCCCCCUGGGCCAAUACUGACGCUCAUGCACGAAAGCGUGGGUAGCAAACAGGAUUAGAUACCCUGGUAGUCCACGCCCUAAACGAUGUCAACUAGGUGCUGGGUGGGUAAAACCAUUUAGUACCGGAGCUAACGCGUGAAGUUGACCGCCUGGGGAGUACGGCCGCAAGGUUAAAACUCAAAGGAAUUGACGGG
RNAcentral lists this ribosomal RNA (915 nucleotides) under uncultured bacterium. Its description in RNAcentral is "bacterial SSU rRNA". It matches the Rfam family "Bacterial small subunit ribosomal RNA", at positions 8 to 917 of the family's 1533-position model. The record is from RNAcentral.